This 1248-nucleotide long non-coding RNA is filed under the name Heterocephalus glaber (naked mole-rat). Its description in RNAcentral is "lncRNA (ENSHGLG00100040466.1)". Lineage: Eukaryota; Metazoa; Chordata; Mammalia; Rodentia; Bathyergidae. The record is from RNAcentral.
UGACAUUGCUGGUGGUGUGCACAGAGGGAGCUCAUCAAGGAGGUGCCAGGGGACUUCCAGCUGCCAAGGCCUGCGUGGAAGAGAGCACAGCGCCGGAGUCUUCGAGGGCUUCUGCAGGUGUUCUUCCAUCUCUUCCUGGCAUCUGGGCUCGCCGCCAGCACAGCUGGAGACUCGCCCCUGUGGGUCUAAGCUCUUAGUCCCAAGCAAACAUCCUGGACUCCAAACUCUGCCUCAGCAGCUACUUCCAGAGAAGCCACUGCCACCACAGGCCCCAGGAGCAGUCUGGAGAAGGAGGCUGGACUGCAGCUCACAGUGCUCAUGGUCGGUGGAGUAAGAGUUUCUCUGGCUCUUCCUCUCCUCUCCAGCCACUUCGAGUGGUGUGAGACAGGGGGUCUUAUCUGGCACUGGGCCCCGUGCCUGCGUUCCUCUGUCAGGGUCCAGCUCCAGGCUGCAUGGUGAGAAGGGGGAGAGAGAAAGCUCACGUCUUCUCACAGAGCUCAUCUCCUGGGUGAAGCAGAGGCUCCUGGACUCCUGCCAACUUCAUCUGGAUCCAGUGGUGACCUCUGACCCUGGAGCUGUUUCCCCGUAGGUGGCGAAUGUGUUUUUCUCAGGAAGUGUUUUGUUUCACCUAGACCCCCUCUCACAGAGGAGCUCUGGCUUUUCUCCUGACUAUAAGCAGAGCAUUCAUUUUUUUUUUGUAAAUGUGACAUAAAUUUCUAAUUGUAAAAGUAUAUUCCUCUCCAGAACCAGGACAAAGUGACUCGAGAGAUGACUUGGGUCAGCACAACCCACCUUACUAAUAACUCUUACAUUUCCUAGUCACCUUCCCACAAUUUACUGGCCCUAGAAAUCCAACCCCCCUUUCCUUUAUUUACUUACUUCUCCGUAAUUUGUCACCCUUUGUUAAAAUGGCAUAGAAGCCCCAAGUCGCACAGCUUUUUGGGUUUUCACUUCUUUUCUGUGAAGCCUCUGUGCACAUGAAAACAUCAAUGAAGUCGUAAAGCUUUCCUCCUUCUAUUCUGUCCUUCAGUUCAUCAGUUCCCAGAAAAGGACACAGAGGACACCAGAAAGGGCUUUCUUCCCCUGUACCCCUAAACUCCCAGGGACAAAUGCAGUUGCCUCUGACCCAGCUCUUUCUUAGUGGAGGACCAGAGGGGGCAGCACUUGGAACAGCAUGGCUAGCUUCUUCCUGGGGAGUGAGAGGCCACUGCCCUUCCAUGAAGCCAUUUCUUAGAGCUCUGUUCACUU